RNAcentral lists this ribosomal RNA (392 nucleotides) under Speonomus carrerei. Its description in RNAcentral is "12S ribosomal RNA". The record is from RNAcentral. Lineage: Eukaryota; Metazoa; Arthropoda; Insecta; Coleoptera; Leiodidae.
AAGAGCGACGGGCGAUGUGUACAUAUUUUAGAGCUACAAUCAUAUAACAUAUUUAUAUCAUAUUACUGUCAAAUCCAUUUUCAUAAAUAACUUUAAUUAAAUAAUCCAUAAAUAUAUUUAUUGUAACUCAUUUAUUCUUAUCUAUAAACUACACCUUGACUUGAUUUUAUUUUUAAAAAAAAUCAUGAACAUUUUAAUUCUUUAAAAAUAUUCAACUACAGCGAUAUACAAAUUAAUAAAAUAAGUAAUAUAAAUCGUGGAAUAUCAAUUACAAAACAAGUUCCUCUGAAUAGACUAAAAUACCGCCAAAUCCUUUAAUUUUCAUGAACAUAACAAUUACUAAUUAACUUAUUAAUUUACAUUUAUAAUAAUAGGGUCUCUAAUCCUAGUUU